RNAcentral lists this unclassified non-coding RNA (336 nucleotides) under uncultured fungus. RNAcentral's name for it is "partial contains 5.8S ribosomal RNA and internal transcribed spacer 2". The stretch from base 1 to 133 matches the Rfam family "5.8S ribosomal RNA", at positions 22 to 154 of the family's 154-position model. The record is from RNAcentral. Lineage: Eukaryota; Fungi.
UGGUUCUGGCAUCGAUGAAGAACGCAGCAAAAUGCGAUAAGUAAUGUGAAUUGCAGAAUUCCGUGAAUCAUUGAAUCUUUGAACGCACAUUGCGCCUUCUGGUAAUCCGGGAGGCAUGCCUGUCUGAGCGUCAUUUCAUUAUUCAAGCCUGUCUUUUUUGGCUUGGUUCUGGAGGCUGAUGUUAGCAUCUCCUCUGUAAUGCAUUGACAGUCAGUCGGACUCUUAGUUGUAGCAUCUGUUCGACUUCAAGAGCUAGUCUGACCCAUUCUUUGAAGUAGCCUCGGUUACAAUUUUAUAUCAAAGUUUGACCUCAGAUCAGGUAGGAAUACCCGCUGA